GACGAACCGUGCGAACGUUAUUCGGAAUCACUGGGCUUAAAGCGCGUGUAGGCGGGUGACCGCGUCGGUCGCUGAAAGCCCCCGGCUCAACCGGGGGAUGGGCGCCGAUACGGGUCGCCUGGAGGGGCGUAGGGGGACCUGGAACUUCCGGUGGAGCGGUGAAAUGCGUUGAGAUCGGAAGGAACGCCCGUGGCGAAAGCGAGGUCCUGGACGCCAUCUGACGCUGAGACGCGAAAGCCAGGGGAGCGAACGGG
Molecule: ribosomal RNA, 254 nt
Filed under: uncultured bacterium
Lineage: Bacteria
Also listed under: 1 other name
Description: partial 16S ribosomal RNA
Rfam family: Bacterial small subunit ribosomal RNA
Source: RNAcentral